UACAGAGGGGGCAAGCGUUGUUCGGAAUUACUGGGCGUAAAGCGUGCGCAGGCGGUUCGUUGUGUCGGUGGUGAAAUCCCCGGGCUUAACCUGGGAAUGGCCAUGGAAACUGGCGAACUGGAGUGCGGCAGAGGGGGGUGGAAUUCCGCGUGUAGCAGUGAAAUGCGUAGAGAUGCGGAGGAACACCGAUGGCGAAGGCAGCCCCCUGGGCUAGCACUGACGCUCAGGCACGAAAGCGUGGGGAGCAAACAGG
RNAcentral lists this ribosomal RNA (253 nucleotides) under uncultured bacterium. RNAcentral's name for it is "partial 16S ribosomal RNA". It matches the Rfam family "Bacterial small subunit ribosomal RNA", at positions 524 to 776 of the family's 1533-position model. The record is from RNAcentral.